GACGAACGCUGGCGGCGUGCUUAACACAUGCAAGUCGAACGGAAAGGCCCUGCUUUUGUGGGGUGCUCGAGUGGCGAACGGGUGAGUAACACGUGAGUAACCUGCCCUUGACUUUGGGAUAACUUCAGGAAACUGGGGCUAAUACCGGCUAGGAGCUCCUGCUGCAUGGGGGGGGUUGGAAAGUUUCGGCGGUUGGGGAUGGACUCGCGGCUUAUCAGCUUGUUGGUGGGGUAGUGGCUUACCAAGGCUUUGACGGGUAGCCGGCCUGGGAGGGUGACCGGCCACAUUGGGCCUGAGAUACGGCCCAGACUCCUACGGGAGGCAGCAGUGGGGAAUAUUGCACAAUGGGCGGAAGCCUGAUGCAGCAACGCCGCGUGCGGGAUGACGGCCUUCGGGUUGUAAACCGCUUUCGCCUGUGACGAAGCGUGAGUGACGGUAAUGGGUAAAGAAGCACCGGCUAACUACGUG
This 468-nucleotide ribosomal RNA is filed under the name uncultured bacterium. RNAcentral describes it as "partial 16S ribosomal RNA". It matches the Rfam family "Bacterial small subunit ribosomal RNA", at positions 28 to 507 of the family's 1533-position model. The record is from RNAcentral.